RNAcentral lists this ribosomal RNA (465 nucleotides) under uncultured bacterium. Its description in RNAcentral is "bacterial SSU rRNA". It matches the Rfam family "Bacterial small subunit ribosomal RNA", at positions 339 to 796 of the family's 1533-position model. The record is from RNAcentral.
CUACGGGAGGCAGCAGUAAGGAAUAUUGGACAAUGGGCGCAAGCCUGAUCCAGCCAUGCCGCGUGGGUGAAGAAGGCCUUCGGGUUGUAAAGCCCUUUUGUCCGGAAAGAAAUCCUGUCGGUUAAUACCCGGCGGGGAUGACGGUACCGGAAGAAUAAGCACCGGCUAACUUCGUGCCAGCAGCCGCGGUAAUACGAAGGGUGCAAGCGUUACUCGGAAUUACUGGGCGUAAAGCGUGCGCAGGCGGUUUUGUAAGACAGAGGUGAAAUCCCCGGGCUCAACCUGGGAACUGCCUUUGUGACUGCAAGGCUGGAGUACGGCAGAGGGGGAUGGAAUUCCGCGUGUAGCAGUGAAAUGCGUAGAUAUGCGGAGGAACACCGAUGGCGAAGGCAAUCCCCUGGGCCUGUACUGACGCUCAUGCACGAAAGCGUGGGGAGCAAACAGGAUUAGAAACCCUGGUAGUCC